UGAUAAGGGAUGUUUGUUUUUAUCCAGGCACACAAUGAGGAGCAAGGGAAUGAUGUGGUCAGACCAAGAACAGACGGUAUGGCCACAGCAGUUACAGGGGAGAGUUCUUCUUUGCCACAUCGGAGGGUCGCUCUGUGGAUGACUGGUUGAAAGAGAAGAGACGACUGGAUCCGAAAUACCAGCAGUCGCGCAGGUGAAGAACAAUCCACGACAAUGCAUGUGACUCCUUUUCAUCUUUUUUCUAAUUGCAGGAGACACCAACUUCACGUGCAGCAUAGUGUCACCUGUAUAUAGUUUGUGUAAUUUUGCUUACAUAUAUUUUGUGUGUAUUUUGAAAAUCUAUCUAAUUUUAAUAGAGUAUUUUGUUACAAAUUUGUAUUGUACAUAGUUUAAUUUUACUGUUGACAAUGUUCUCAAGCUAAUUCAAUUGAUGUUUUUGUUACAUAAAAAAUCUUUUCAAAGGA
This is a long non-coding RNA of Betta splendens (Siamese fighting fish), 464 nucleotides long. RefSeq lists it as uncharacterized. Lineage: Eukaryota; Metazoa; Chordata; Actinopteri; Anabantiformes; Osphronemidae. The record is from RefSeq and is a predicted model, not a curated record. The transcript has 2 exons.